This 253-nucleotide ribosomal RNA is filed under the name uncultured bacterium. RNAcentral's name for it is "partial 16S ribosomal RNA". It matches the Rfam family "Bacterial small subunit ribosomal RNA", at positions 524 to 776 of the family's 1533-position model. The record is from RNAcentral.
UACGUAGGGGGCUAGCGUUGUCCGGAUUUAUUGGGCGUACAGAGCGUGUAGGCGGCCAGGUAGGUCUGCUGUGAAAACUCGAGGCUCAACCUCGAGACGUCGGCGGAAACCAUCUGGCUAGAGUCCGGAAGAGGAGAGUGGAAUUCCUGGUGUAGCGGUGAAAUGCGCAGAUAUCAGGAAGAACACCCGUGGCGAAGGCGGCUCUCUGGGACGGUACUGACGCUGAGACGCGAAAGCGUGGGGAGCGAACAGG